UUGAUCCUGGCUCAGGACGAACGCUGGCUGCGUGCUUAACACAUGCAAGUCGAACGCUGAAGCCGGGUGCUUGCACCUGGUGGAUGAGUGGCGAACGGGUGAGUAACACGUGAGUAACCUGCCCCUGAUUUCGGGAUAAGCCUGGGAAACUGGGUCUAAUACCGGAUAUGACUGUUCCACGCAUGUGGGAUGGUGGAAAGUUUUUCGAUCGGGGAUGGGCUCGCGGCCUAUCAGCUUGUUGGUGGGGUAAUGGCCUACCAAGGCGACGACGGGUAGCCGGCCUGAGAGGGCGACCGGCCACACUGGGACUGAGACACGGCCCAGACUCCUACGGGAGGCAGCAGUGGGGAAUAUUGCACAAUGGGGGAAACCCUGAUGCAGCGACGCAGCGUGCGGGAUGACGGCCUUCGGGUUGUAAACCGCUUUCAGCAGGGAAGAAGCGAAAGUGACGGUACCUGCAGAAGAAGUACCGGCUAACUACGUGCCAGCAGCCGCGGUAAUACGUAGGGUACGAGCGUUGUCCGGAAUUAUUGGGCGUAAAGAGCUCGUAGGUGGUUGGUCACGUCUGCUGUGGAAACGCACCGCUAAACGUUGCGCGGGCAGUGGGUACGGGCUGACUACAGUGCACUACGGGAGUCUGGAAUACCUGCCGUACCGGUGAACAUGCCCACAUAUAAGGAGGAACACGGGCGGGCCAAUGCGGGACUCUGGCCUGUCACUGAAUCUGAGGCCCGAACGCUUGGGGAGCGAACAGA
RNAcentral lists this ribosomal RNA (755 nucleotides) under uncultured bacterium. RNAcentral describes it as "bacterial SSU rRNA". It matches the Rfam family "Bacterial small subunit ribosomal RNA", at positions 13 to 776 of the family's 1533-position model. The record is from RNAcentral.